Molecule: long non-coding RNA, 622 nt
Organism: Homo sapiens (human)
Lineage: Eukaryota; Metazoa; Chordata; Mammalia; Primates; Hominidae
Product: long intergenic non-protein coding RNA 1440
Source: Ensembl
UUAUAGUACUAAGAGUCAGCACUAAUUUAUGCAAACUGAAAAUAAAGUAUUUAAGGGACCAGGGACUCUCAGGAUGGAAUAUAAACUGUGACGAAUAAAUAUAACUGUAUGGCAAAUAUGUAAAACAAAUUUCCUGAAGUGGGAGAAAAAGGUGCCGAUCUAAGUAAAUCUGGAAAGGAGUAGAAUCUAUAAGAUUAAAGGCAGAAAGAACUUCACAUAAGCACUCUAGUUGGUAAAGAUGUUUCCCGCAGAGAGUUAUCAAAAGCAAGGAAAGUUUGAGAAGCUUUCACAGCCAAGAAGAGCCUGAAGAGACAUGAUAAACAAAUAAAAUGGUGAAUCCUGGAUGCAGCCCUGGAAAAACAACAAAGCGACCUCAGGUUAUGUCUUCUUUUAUAAGACUACCCACUGCCUCUUCUCAAGUAUAUCUGAAGUAUGGCUGGUUGGAGUAUAUCAGGACCCUCAGAGGAGAAAAGCAUAUAAAACCAGCACACCUGAACCCAGAAAAGAUUCGUUAUGAAUCCGCCAAGACACCAUACUGUUUUAAAUCUGAAGUAAAAGUUAGUCUCAACAAGUUAUUGUAUCUUGUCUGCAUGAGUUUGUCAUUAAAUGAUUCUGAAAUGCA